GGUUUCGUCCAAAGACACGGCUCUGUCUCCCCGUCCCAGUCCCAUCAAGAGCAGGGCACACUGCCGGCUCAUUCAUUCCCCAGUCCCGGCCAGCGCCGCUCCUUCCCCUCACAUAGCUAGGCGUUGGGCGCACUGCCUCCUCUUCCCGUCGAGCCAGCAGCUUCCGCCGCCCCUCCCCUGUCCCUCUUUGUUUCCCCGGAUUGAGGCUCCGCCGUCCGUCCUCCCUGAUGUGUUGCAGUGCGCCGGCAACUGGUCUUUUGAUGGGAUUUUGCGCCCGGCUCACCUCUCCCCCGCCUCUCUCGUUGACCUGCCGCCGCUCUGGCACGUUCUCCACGCUCGUCGUUGCCUGCUUCGCGCUCGCCCGUCGGGAGCAAAAUCAGCACCGCAAUCAGCCGUAAUGCUCCUCCGCGUGUCCUACACAUAGGGACACACGGUUCUUUGCUAGGAUUAGACAGCGGCGGCAAGGUCCACGCGGUGUCGAUUCACCGGACGGCAGGCAACCACCCGUCUCGUUUAUCCCUUAUCUCACGAUCCUACCCUCCCUCUCGCGCACGACCAGGGAUUCCAACUCCCACGCCUGUUUCCUCUCGACGAGCCGCACGACGCGAACUAUUCCUUCUAGUUCCUCUGUUCCUCACGAACGGGGAGCACUACCGGCGGCCGUGCUCCGCCCCGUCGUCUCCCGUCCGGCGCUGGCCACGCCGCUACCAAGCUCCUCUACGGCCGACCUUAUCUGAUGCGCCCCCCGCGUCGGCUUGUUCGGCAUACACCGACGCCGAAACCAAAUUUCUUCAUACGGUGACGCCGAGGACCGACUUCACGUGUCUCCAGUCGCGCCACCGUCAGUACAGGCUGCAUCAGAGGGGAUCGAUUGGGAAAACUUCAAUUCAUGUGACCGCCGUUGUGGGGCGCCUCGGGUGGCCUGGGACUGGAGCGUGAAACCCACCAUUGGCGGUGCAAAACGAGGAAGAGGCCUGGUUAGUUGCGGGCCUGCGCUGCGGACAGGGCGUCCCUGGGUCGCAGCCGCUCCCUCGGAUGGCGCCGAGGACUCAUGUGGCCGGGCGAUCCCAUGGCGGUGUUAGGCGGGUGAGGCCAGCAGCACCAAUUAGUCAUGCCCGGCGUGCAGAUCGGCGAAUUUCAUGACCGUUUGGGAGGUCAUGGAGGUGCCAAGUCCUGCCGGGCGUGAAGACAGGCGAAUUUCGCGGUUGUUUGGGAACUCAGAGAGGGGUUCGAUCUGUGCCAAAACAGGGACCUUCCUAUUUCGCCUCGCCAAAAAAAAUUUCCAACAAAUCUAAGCUCCAUCAAUUCAGCCUAUGGAUUUUCUUUUGGAAAGAUCGCGCACGGGAGAGCUCGCCCCUGCCUCGAGGCAACAGCUGGCCAUGGGAUUCGGUUGCCAGAGAUCUCAAUCGGGCCGUCAGGUGAUUGAUCCGGGCGCCGGAGUGCUCGAUCUGGUAGCAUCUUCCAGGAUGCAUGCUUCUUUGGGAGAAGCGCGGCCUGCUGGGUGUGACGACGCGAGGCGGCUAUCAGCCAUGAGCAAGAGAAAUCAAUCGAACUUGUCAGGUUUGUUUGGGAAUAGGAGGAGACUAGCAAAAGUGCCCGUGCGUUGCAUCGGGAGAAAAGAAUCCCUGUACAUGCCACUCGAUGCCGCAUUGCCCACACUAAUGCUUAUAUUUCUGUGCCCUAGAUGGUUACAGCUAGAGGCACUCCACACGUCGCCCUUGAGCACAUGAGGAGUCAGCGAGGUGCUUCUCCUAAUACUGGCAUCCCCGAGAGGUGACCCUCGAUUGGUUUGGAGGCGGGCAUAAGGAACCUAGUACUGACGUGGGAGCCCAUGGUCAAGCCUGGAGGUGUUGCCAUAGAAGACAGAGUUCCAUCGGUUCUUGAUAACUUAUGGUGUGGGUUUGCGGCCGGAUAGUUCUUUGUUUUUCACCGAUGUUUCGACUAAUGCGGUAACUCUCUCUCUCUCUCUCUCUCUCUCUCUCAACACGGAUAUUCAAAUAAUAUUCCUUAACAAUUCAUUAAAAACCACUUGAUCAAGAUUUGAACAAGAUUUGAAGUAUACGGAUGUAUUAUGAACGAUUUUUUCUUCCAACAAUGACCGCAGUAAAUUGUGAGGUGUGUUUCAGAUG
This is a long non-coding RNA of Lolium perenne, 2129 nucleotides long. RefSeq lists it as uncharacterized. NCBI's taxonomy places the organism in Eukaryota, Viridiplantae, Streptophyta, Magnoliopsida, Poales, Poaceae. The record is from RefSeq and is a predicted model, not a curated record.